GACGAACGCUGGCGGCGUGCCUAAUACAUGCAAGUUGAGCGCUGAAGGUUGGUACUUGUACCGACUGGAUGAGCAGCGAACGGGUGAGUAACGCGUGGGGAAUCUGCCUUUGAGCGGGGGACAACAUUUGGAAACGAAUGCUAAUACCGCAUAAAAACUUUAAACACAAGUUUUAAGUUUGAAAGAUGCAAUUGCAUCACUCAAAGAUGAUCCCGCGUUGUAUUAGCUAGUUGGUGAGGUAAAGGCUCACCAAGGCGAUGAUACAUAGCCGACCUGAGAGGGUGAUCGGCCACAUUGGGGCUGAGACACGGCCCAAACUCCUACGGGAGGCAGCAGUAGGGAAUCUUCGGCAAUGGACGAAAGUCUGACCGAGCAACGCCGCGUGAGUGAAGAAGGUUUUCGGACCGUAAAACUCUGUUGGUAGAGAAGAACGUUGGUGAGAGUGGAAAGCUCAUCAAGUGACGGUAACUACCCAGAAAGGGACGGCUAACUACGUG
RNAcentral lists this ribosomal RNA (497 nucleotides) under uncultured bacterium. RNAcentral describes it as "partial 16S ribosomal RNA". It matches the Rfam family "Bacterial small subunit ribosomal RNA", at positions 28 to 507 of the family's 1533-position model. The record is from RNAcentral.